Molecule: non-coding RNA, 123 nt
Organism: Gossypium hirsutum (cotton)
Lineage: Eukaryota; Viridiplantae; Streptophyta; Magnoliopsida; Malvales; Malvaceae
Source: Rfam
AAUAGGAGAAUGACAAAUCAGAUUUUUCCUUCUGAUUUUCAGUUUUUUCCUCCUAAAAAAAUUUAAAUUCAACUAAAAAUGCUGAAAAUCAGAAGGAAAAAUCUGAUUUGCCAUUCUCCUACU